This is a long non-coding RNA of Mustela lutreola (European mink), 988 nucleotides long. RefSeq lists it as uncharacterized. Lineage: Eukaryota; Metazoa; Chordata; Mammalia; Carnivora; Mustelidae. The transcript has 3 exons. The record is from RefSeq and is a predicted model, not a curated record.
UUCCGUAUUUACCGAUGUACCCACAGCACCAGUGCCUACAUCCCUGCCACAGUAUCUAGACCUAAAUGCUCAUCAGUGCCAUGCCCAGCUUGAAGGCCAACACGGGGCUUGAACUCAUGACCCUGAGAUCAAGACGGAGCUGAGGUCAAGAGUCGUAUGCUUAACCGACUAAGCUACCCAGCGCCCCCAAAUUUCUAUUUCUUAAAAGUCAAAAUUCCCAAUCAUCACCAAGAGGGGAGCUGGACCCCUUCCCGCAGCCGCCCUGUCCUUCCUGAGGCUCUUCUUGGGGCUUCUCAAUGCCUCAUCCUUGCUCCCCGCCUGCUGCUCCGACCACUCAUUCCUGGCUCUCCUGACACCAGACUCCUGCUCCUUCUUCCUGGAUGACAUGUUGGGCCGCAGCCCCAGAUCCUGAAACUCAGGCCCACACACCGUUUUAGUGAUCAUGCCUCCUCUACGCUGAGAUGUCGUAUCUUGCUUUCUCCCCCAAAUCUACAGGACCACCAAAAGUUUGGGGCACAUUUGGACUUUGCUGCCCCACCCUCGCCUCAGUCUGAAUUCUUUCCCCAGAAGACAGACCCUCCCCGAUAAAAGCCACUCUGACCUCCAUAGUCCUGUCACCAUGUCACCCACAGGCCAUCCAUACCCUGGGUGCCCCGGCUCGAAGCCCAGCCCCUCCCUCUCCUUGGUGCUCAAGUCCCCUCCAUCAGCUUUCAAGUCCUGCCAUUUCUCGUGUCUGUCCUUAUGGCCACUCCUUCCUGCCCGCUCCUGUGCCACCCCGAGUCUGCAGCUCCUUAUGACUCGGGCUAUAGACACAGCCACCAUGUGCCACAGCCCAAGCUGGCCUCCCCAACUCCAGUCCCUCUCACAUUCACUUUGUGCAUUUCGGCCAGAUGAGUCCUCAUGAUGUCCUUGCCCACAAACCUGUUGGUUGAAUGUAUGGAUGAUAAAUGUGUACAGUAUUGAGCCCUGAUGGUGGAGGGCCUUGAAU